GCCACCUUAGCUCAGCUGGUAGAGCAAUGCUUUCGUAAAGCAGAGGUCCCGGGUUCGAAUCCCGGAGGUGGCUCCA
Molecule: transfer RNA, 76 nt
Filed under: Patescibacteria group bacterium
Lineage: Bacteria
Description: tRNA-Thr
Rfam family: tRNA
About the family: Transfer RNA (tRNA) molecules are approximately 80 nucleotides in length. Their secondary structure includes four short double-helical elements and three loops (D, anti-codon, and T loops).
Source: RNAcentral